ACGCACGCUGGCGGCAGGCCUCACCCCUGCCAGUCGCGCGCGGACUUCGGUUCUAGCGGCGGACGGGUGAGUAACGCGUGGGAAUGUGCCCUUCUCUACGGAAUAGCCCUGGGAAACUGGGAGUAAUACCGUAUACGCCCUAUUGGGGAAAGAUUUAUCGGAGAAGGAUCAGCCCGCGUUGGAUUAGGUAGUUGGUGGGGUAAUGGCCUACCAAGCCGACGAUCCAUAGCUGGUUUGAGAGGAUGAUCAGCCACACUGGGACUGAGACACGGCCCAGACUCCUACGGGAGGCAGCAGUGGGGAAUCUUAGACAAUGGGGGCAACCCUGAUCUAGCCAUGCCGCGUGAGUGAUGAAGGCCUUAGGGUUGUAAAGCUCUUUCAGCUGGGAAGAUAAUGACGGUACCAGCAGAAGAAGCCCCGGCUAACUCCGUG
RNAcentral lists this ribosomal RNA (432 nucleotides) under uncultured bacterium. Its description in RNAcentral is "partial 16S ribosomal RNA". It matches the Rfam family "Bacterial small subunit ribosomal RNA", at positions 29 to 507 of the family's 1533-position model. The record is from RNAcentral.